Molecule: small nuclear RNA, 30 nt
Filed under: Arabidopsis thaliana (thale cress)
Lineage: Eukaryota; Viridiplantae; Streptophyta; Magnoliopsida; Brassicales; Brassicaceae
Description: snRNA_05989
Source: RNAcentral
AUUUCCUCGCCGCCUUUGUUGCGAGUUGUU